GUGAAGGUUUAUUGUGAGAAAUCGAAUGAUAGGGUAACGCCUUGAAAGGUUUCCUUUGAUACUCCGACAUGCGAAAGUAAGGUGUGCGCCCAAAAUCGUAUGAAACUCGGUGAAGUCGGUCGAAAGAUGCCGUAUUCUAAAGGCUGUGAGUGACACAGAGGUUAGGAACGAAACUGCAUUAGAGGUAGUGUAUGUAUCUGAUAGGCCGGAAGUCAUUAAA
This is a non-coding RNA of Carnobacterium inhibens subsp. gilichinskyi, 220 nucleotides long. Lineage: Bacteria; Bacillati; Bacillota; Bacilli; Lactobacillales; Carnobacteriaceae. The record is from Rfam.